ACACUUUGGCAACACACAUGCUAAAAUUGGAAUGCUACAGAGAAGAUUUGCAUAGCCCUUGUGCUACGAUGAUACGCAAAUUUGUGAAGCAUUCUACAAGUAA
Eublepharis macularius is the source of this 103-nucleotide small nuclear RNA. Lineage: Eukaryota; Metazoa; Chordata; Lepidosauria; Squamata; Eublepharidae. The record is from RefSeq and is a predicted model, not a curated record.